RNAcentral lists this ribosomal RNA (405 nucleotides) under uncultured bacterium. RNAcentral describes it as "partial 16S ribosomal RNA". It matches the Rfam family "Bacterial small subunit ribosomal RNA", at positions 28 to 525 of the family's 1533-position model. The record is from RNAcentral.
GAUGAACGCUGACAGAAUGCUUAACACAUCAGCAAUUGAUUGGUGGCGGACGGGUGAGUAACGCGUAAAGAACUUGCCUCACAGGUAGGGACAACAUUUGGAAACGAAUGCUAAUACCUAAUACUGUGAGAGAGCUUUGCGUCCCAAUAGCUAGUUGGAGAGGUAACGGCUCACCAAGGCGAUGAUGGAUAGCCGGCCUGAGAGGGUGAUCGGCAACAAGGGGACGGAGACACGGCCCUGACUACUAAGGGAGGCAGCAGGGGGGAAUAUUGGACAAUGGACCAAAGUCUGAUCCAGCAAUUCUGUGGGCAAGAGAAAGUUUUCGGAAUGUAAAGUGCUUUCAGGUAGGAAGCGGUACCAACAGAAGAAGUGACGGCUAAAUACGUGCCAGCAGCCGCGGUAAUA